AGAACCCAGAUUUUUCAGUCUUCUGUUCCCAUAUGCGAUAUAUCAUUAUUCAGGUGCUAUAAAAUUAACAGGUUUGUACCUAGUGUUCAUGCUUUGUGUGUGCCAAAUUUCAGCUAAAAAGCAAGCAAACGAAGGCUAACAAUGGAACUAGUGCUGUCUGGUUAAACAGCUAAUGGAGAUUGCUGGUGUGGUUCAGUGGAGAUUGCUGAUACGAUUUUUGCGAGUAUGGAUGCUCUGACGAAGCCCAGAAGCCUAGAAGUGAGAAGCCUGGUAUGCCCUUGAUCACGAGAUGGUUUCUCCGUUUAUGUAUUUACCGUGUGUUUUGUUGCCUGUGUUGCCUGCACGUGGCGUCGAUGUGUGGCCGUCCAAUAGCCCAGUAGCAGUAUCUGUGUGACUGUAAUAUUUCCUCGUGAAUAUGUUUGGGUCUAAGACUAUCUUCAGCAAUUUAUUUAUCAUAUCUCCUAUUUCAAAUCUUA
This is a long non-coding RNA of Zea mays, 476 nucleotides long. RefSeq lists it as uncharacterized. Lineage: Eukaryota; Viridiplantae; Streptophyta; Magnoliopsida; Poales; Poaceae. The record is from RefSeq and is a predicted model, not a curated record. The transcript is spliced from 2 exons.